RNAcentral lists this ribosomal RNA (373 nucleotides) under uncultured bacterium. RNAcentral describes it as "bacterial SSU rRNA". It matches the Rfam family "Bacterial small subunit ribosomal RNA", at positions 527 to 896 of the family's 1533-position model. The record is from RNAcentral.
GUAGGGUGCAAGCGUUGUCCGGAAUUAUUGGGCGUAAAGAGCUCGUAGGCGGCUUGUCGCGUCGGCUGUGAAAACCUGGGGCUCAACCCCGGGCCUGCAGCCGAUACGGGCAAGCUAGAGUUCGGUAGGGGAGACUGGAAUUCCUGGUGUAGCGGUGAAAUGCGCAGAUAUCAGGAGGAACACCGGUGGCGAAGGCGGCUUGCUGGGCUCAUGUCUGACGCUGAGGAGCGAAAGCGUGGGGAGCAAACAGGAUUAGAUACCCUGGUAGUCCACGCCGUAAACGUUGGGCGCUAGGUGUGGGCCACAUUCCACGUGGUCUGUGCCGCAGCUAACGCAUUAAGCGCCCCGCCUGGGGAGUACGGCCGCAAGGCUA